CCCAAUUGAACACCAAGAUAGUUUUCCCCAAAUUUCGACAAUCUAAUUUCACCCAAAAAGAGUAUGGAAAAACCCUAGAAAUUGGGGAUUUUUGGGCUGAUUCCUUAAGAUAGAAAAAGGCUGAAAACACAAUAAGAACAGAAAAUAGAUUAGAUAAUGAUUCAGCACAAGUAGAAAUAAAGAAAGAAUUGACAGUAAGAAAUUAAAAGAUAAGUUCUAAGAAGCCUUGAAAUCUCGAAAGAUCUCACAACUCCCUUCAAACGGCUCUAAUCUCCCCUCCAAAGAAUAUCAAUGGCAAGAAGAAGGUUGAAGAUG
Molecule: long non-coding RNA, 315 nt
Filed under: Gossypium barbadense (sea-island cotton)
Lineage: Eukaryota; Viridiplantae; Streptophyta; Magnoliopsida; Malvales; Malvaceae
Description: long non-coding RNA (GBAR_LNC007211)
Source: RNAcentral